UGCUGGAAGUUUGAAGAGCCGAAACAGUAAAGCUUCCAUGCUUGUUUUGCUUUACGAAAAUGAAACCAGGAGGUGCUUGUUUAUGUAGAUCGGAAGAAUACAUUGAUCAUUUUGCACUUGGGGGUGAAAAGCACCUUUCCUGGACUGCGUGGCCGGAUCAAGCCAGCCCUAGUCUGUCUCCCGGCUCCAUUAUGUAAUAUGUGUUCUGGACUGUUAGACAAGAAACAACAAACGAUUUAAGAAACGAUUUAAGAAACACUUUAGAAACGAUUCAAAUCAUUAAUGAUGUGUGGGGCUUCGUUCUGGAAUAUAAGUCACGAAAGAAAGAUGGGAAAAGGAAACCGACGAUUUUUUUUUUCUUUUGAGAGAACUUCGCCCUUGUUGCCCAGACUCCGUCUCAAAAAAAAAAAACAAAAACAACUAAAAGUACUCUGUGCUAUGCUACAUGAGAAACGCAGAGAAAGUCAUCGCUCAGUAGAAAUACAGUAAUAGCGCAUGCGUAAAUAGGAGAGGGAAGUCGCUACUUUACCUAGAGAUUAACACAGAAAAGCAACAAAUUACCAGUUUACAAGUAAACCCUUUAUCUAACGCGAAGAUUUAUUUAUUUUUUGAGAUGGAAUCUUGCUCUGUCUCUCAGGCUAGAGCGCCCGCCACCAGGCCUGAUUCACUUUUCUUUUGGUUUUUUAGUGAAGACGGGAUUUUUCACACCAUGUUAGUCAGGCUGGAAUUACCCAAUCCGCCCGCCCCAACCUCCCGAAGUGCUAGGAUUUCACGCUUGAAACCCCGAGCGCGACCUAGGUUUAACACAUCAAACGCGAAACCAGGCCGGGCGCGGUGGCUCACGCCUGUAAUCCCACCACUUUGGGAGGCCGAGGCGGGCGGAUCACGAGCUCAGGAGAUCGAGACCAUCCUGGUUAACACGUUGUGAAACCCUGUCUCCACUAAAAAUACAAAACAGGCCGGGCGCGGUGGCUCACGCCUGUAUUCCCAGCACUUUGGGAGGCUGAAGCGGGCGGAUCACAAGGUCAAGAGAUGGAGACCACCCUGGCCAACAUGGUGAAACCCCGUCUC
RNAcentral lists this long non-coding RNA (1071 nucleotides) under Homo sapiens (human). RNAcentral's name for it is "HSALNT0176314". Lineage: Eukaryota; Metazoa; Chordata; Mammalia; Primates; Hominidae. The record is from RNAcentral.